This is a long non-coding RNA of Asparagus officinalis (garden asparagus), 1322 nucleotides long. RefSeq lists it as uncharacterized. NCBI's taxonomy places the organism in Eukaryota, Viridiplantae, Streptophyta, Magnoliopsida, Asparagales, Asparagaceae. The transcript has 3 exons. The record is from RefSeq and is a predicted model, not a curated record.
UUAAAAGUCGACGGUACUUGGAAGCCUCAAAUGUAUCAAGCUGCGGUUGAUGCACUAAAAUCAUUUAAUAGCAACUUGAACAAAGAUAACGUGAAGAAUCGACUCAAAAUUUGGAAAACACAUUAUAAUGUUAUCUAUGACAUUAAAAAUAAAAGUGGUUUGACGUGGUGGGAUGAUGAGAAGAAAAUGGUGAUUAUACCCGCUAGUGAGCAAAAAGUAUGGAGCGACUAUGUUUCGGCUAAUCCAGAUGCAAAAGGCUACCAUAAUCGUUUGAUUGAAAAUUGAGAUGACAUUAUGGUAUUAUGUCCAAAAGAUAGAGCCAAUGGUGAAUAUGCAGAAACCAUUGAAGAGGCUGCUAACGCAAUGCAACAUAAGGAAUUUGAGGCACAAUCUGAAACAAAUGAAGGUGGAAGCUCUUCAAGGAAAUAUCUUCCUAGAGCAUCAACUAGUGGUGAGACAAGUUCAAAGAAACAAAUAAAGGGGAUAAAAUGGUUGAUUCAUUUGCAAUGAUGACAGUUUCUGUGAGUGAGUAUUUUAAUGAGAGAAAGAAGGAAGUAGUAAUAAAACCACCAACCGGAGAGGAGAUUCAUCAAGUGGUCUAAAAAAUACUCAACUUAAGUCGCAGUCAAGUGUUCAAUGCAUUUGAGAAGAUAAUGCAUAGCAACCUGGAAAAGUUUUAUUUGUUGAAGUCAUUUCCUGAUGAUGAAAAAAGAGAUUUUAUUCUCUUUAUUCUUAAGGAGUAGUUUCUAGUUGGAUAACAAGAACCCCCAAAUCUUUGAACCCAUUCUUAAGGUAAUUCAAUUUUAAUUUUGUGAAGAGAUCUACUUUUUCCUUCAUGCUUUGGUGCAGAGCUCCUAACGGGUGUUUCUUUGGAUAAAAGUCCUAAUCAAUCUCUGUAUGAUUCUUUUUAUGCUCUAUUUUUCUUUCAAAAUUAAUUCUUAUUGGAGCAUUCUACUAUUUAGAUUUGAUUGUUAGGUAAAUAUGAUUGGGUGAAUUGUGAUUUGAGAAAGAGGACUAGCUCAGGAUCAACCUCCAAAAUCUGAAGUAAGUCUGAUUGAGAGGAUGGUGAUCUAAGAUAUAUAGAGGAGUGGCUCAUAAUCAAUCUCUGCUCAUUUUCUUUGUAGGUUUUGGGCUCAUAUAGUGAUGGCAUAUUCCUUGUCGUGUUCUACUUAAAAAGAGUAUGAGAUAGUUGCAUUAAUGAGAUUGCAUUUUCUUGCUACAGGAAAACACCGUCCAGAUCAGUUUAUUGUAUGCUCUCAGAUUGAUACUUUCAAAAAGAAUUUACCUGCUUACUCUUUUGUUGUUGCAAAUAGGGUUUAUGA